Molecule: long non-coding RNA, 775 nt
Organism: Fukomys damarensis (Damara mole-rat)
Lineage: Eukaryota; Metazoa; Chordata; Mammalia; Rodentia; Bathyergidae
Exons: 4
Source: RefSeq, a predicted model, not a curated record
CCCGCAGGUACUGUGGCUCUGAGUGACACUUCCUAGGACACGCUUGUGGAUCCGUACAAAGACUAAAGAUACAGCAGGAUGGGUGCUCGUGGACAUGAACACAAGUGUGUAAGUGCUGCCACUGUUGCCACCAAGACACCAUCCACCUGCUGUAUACACCAAAAAGUCCUUAGAAUCUUGGAAACAGAAAUGAAAUGACCCCAAGUCCACUAAGGUGCUGUACACAUCAGUGGCUGGUACAUGGUUUGAGCAAUCCACUUCCAGGGAGCUGGUCUCCGAGUCCUAGAAAGGGAACCAGGAAAUGCUGGGGGUGCACCUCUCCGCUUAGGAGGAGACAGACAGCCUCUCCCUCCAGAGGGACUUGGGUUGAGGCCUGACAUGAGCCAUGUCAGUUAACCCUUUCCUUCCUGGCCAAUGCACCAAGAAAUGUUGCAGAAGGAACUGGUAAGUGACACACAGAGGUGCAAAAGUGGGUAAAACAAAGGCUCCACUAUGGCCUGUAUUUAAAUGUCCACCCAAGGCCUCAUGAAGUGAUAGGGUGGGGCUUUUUGGAGGUGGCUGGAUCUAGGGAGUAUAUAAUGUUGAAAUCAAAGAUGUGAUGCUAAGCUUAAGGGUGUACUACUGCCCCUAAGGGUGGAUAACCUGGACAAGGGUAACCUGGAUAUAAGGGACAGAAAGUGGGUCAUCUAUUAUCUUUGUUGCUUGUUGCUUGGAUGCUGCUGCUACCUUAUGCCUGUCAUGAACUGAUUCUCUUCUACAAUGCCCCUCUGCCAUG